This is a non-coding RNA of 367 nucleotides. It matches the Rfam family "transfer-messenger RNA". From Rfam's summary of the family: Bacterial tmRNA, also known as 10Sa RNA or SsrA, is named for its dual tRNA and mRNA-like properties. The record is from Rfam.
GGGGGUGAUCGGUUUCGACAUUGGUCGGUCAUCCAGGGGAAGCGGGUCGAGGACGCACGGUUAUCUCGUCAACGCUCCGUGCAAACCAAUAGGUGCCAACUCCAAGCGCACCGACUUCGCCCUCGCCGCCUGAGCGAGCCCGAAGUCCGUUGGCCUAUGCGUGAUCUCGGCAUAGUCACCAGCGUCAUCUAGAGAUCUUGCUGCGCGUCCCUCGUCGGGGGGAGGCGUGGGACUCUAAUCCGACUGAGCCUGUCGGGGAACGUGUGCGCGCGAGCCCCGGGGCCGAGAAAAUCCAGAGCGCACUGCACCCGGAGAAGUCCUGGUUCAUCGUCAGUGGACGCGGGUUCGAUUCCCGCCACCUCCACGA